This is a long non-coding RNA of Vespa velutina, 4982 nucleotides long. RefSeq lists it as uncharacterized. The transcript has 2 exons. The record is from RefSeq and is a predicted model, not a curated record. NCBI's taxonomy places the organism in Eukaryota, Metazoa, Arthropoda, Insecta, Hymenoptera, Vespidae.
UGAUUUGCGAGCGAUGCCGAAGCUGACUUGGCCGGUGAUACAAUGCGUUCAGAACUUGUCAUUCCGGCAAAUUUCAGAUUGAUUCUCCAUUGUUAUUAUUUCGAUAAUUGUCAAUUUCCAGUAAUUAUAUCAAUUUUAUGUUACAAUUGAUUAAUAUACGGUACCAGUCGAAAAUUUGAUCGAUAGUUCGUUUUAGAGAAUGCUUUGUCAGUUAAAUCAUUCUGUUACAGUUUAGGAAUGAAAGAAUAGAUUUACAUCGACUACAAAAUUACUACUCGAUCAAAUUAGAAUGAGAUUAGACAUAGGAACAAUCCCGAGCAGAGUCUAAAAGUAUCUAAAGUCGAAAAGUCGUGUUAUCGCAACUUUCCUUACCUCGGGAUUCUACUUUGAUAACAGAGUAGGAUGACCUACUUCUUUAUUUCACCGGUAAUUAACUCAGAAAUAGAUUGCACGAUAGAACCACCCACUCGCCGGUGGUGUUCGGUUCAGGCUUUACUCGAAGAAAAGAGAUUACGAGCUUGUUACGAUUUGCUUUAAGCCGUACAGUCUGGAAUUUAUGGCGGGCCACGGAUAGGACACGAGAAUUCUCAAGGCUGCUGUUCUUCGAUAAUGCUCGGAUCGAUGCACAUCCCGAUUCGCUUCGUUUCCCGUUUCUCUCUUUUCCUUUUUUUUUUUUUCCUCGAUUAGCCGAUUUUUCAUCGAACGGAAAGUUUAGACGAGAAGAAAGAAAAACUUAUAUCGGACGGAUAAAAAAAGAAAACGAUCGUUAAAGAGAGUGGAAGUAUUGGACAAGAUCGUAAUUAGCAAGAUAGCAUCCAGUGUCACUGUGGCAAAAGUCUUUUCGACGUUCCAGCCCAAGGUUAUCGUUCUGCUUCGGAGUUUCUCCUCGAUGCUAAUCACCGCUCGUACCAACCUAAUGAUCCGCUAAUACGCGCUUAUUACUCCGGCACCAAACCGAAGAACGUGGCUCGAAACUGCGUUGUUAACAUUUUCCGCGUCUAGGAGGGAGGAAGCCGCUCGGAACACGUUCUUGACGUAAUAGUUUCUCUUCGCAUCUCUAUAUCCAAAUAUGAAGUCUCUACAUAAUAUGCAUUUAGUAUGCACAAGUGUAUAUAUAUAUAUAUAUAUAUAUAUGUAUAUAUAUAUUUAUAUAUGUGAACAUAUAGGAUGAUGCCUCGUCAAAUUCCCGAGAGCACUACUUUUUACUUAAUUAAAUAAAUACUUUAUCUUAUUAAUGAAACGCGUUCGUUUACAUAUUAUGAAAUGAAAAUAUCUACAUGACCGAAUCGAGUCACCCUACACACGCACGAAUGCCUCGUAGGCGAUACGCUUUACGUAAAUAUUCGUUAUACAUAUGUCGAGGCUCAAAUAUUGGCAGCUGAUUACGAAGCUGAAGUGGUACUUCUAUGAAUUCCGAUAUCGAUGUCGACGCUGUCGAUUUUCUCGUUUCGACGUAGAUCGUCUUCUUAUGCGGAAAGUCAUCGUCAAAAUUUUUACGAAUCAUCACUCUUUUCUCAAUGAAAAACUCGUAUGCUUUGUUGAAGUAAAAGAUAAAAAAAAGAAAUAUCUAAUCGCGAAACAAAACGUGACGUCGAUCCCGAUAGAGAAUCCGUAACAAAGAAACUGCAUGCCGUGCAUAUACCAUGAUUUUUCUUUCUCUCUCUCUAUCUCUCCAUCUUUCUUUUCGUCCAUUUCGUUACAGGAAUGUCCAACUGUUGAGUCAUCAAAAUACUUUCCAGCAAAAGUAGAACGAGUCGGAGGAUAUUCUAUUGAGAGAGGACAAGCGAACGAGUCAGCCCUGUUCCUUUUCUUUUUCUCUUUCUUGCUUCGAGUUAUCCGUCUCUUUUUUCUCCCCUUCUUACGUAGCACCCAGUCUCGUUGAUGUAUCGUUUUGCUACGUGUACAUCAUAUUUUCACGUGUCGUAUCUUCUUCGUCCUCCUCGAGAAGGAUCUGAGAUUGGCUUGACUCGUUGAAAGAUCGAGAGGUAUCUUCUCUUACCUCUUCUUUCUUCCUUUAUCAGAAUCAAUAAACGAAUGUUAUUUAAUAUCUAUUUUAAGUUUUCAACGAUUGCUUCGUUUUCGAACAAAAGUAUUUCGUAUAUUCGACGAGUAGUCAUAAUUUUUUAUCAAAAAGCAAAGCUCGAACACGUUCGAGAAAGUUUCUUAAACGUUCUUCUCGCAAAUUCGUAAACUCAUUGGAAUAUCUGUUGGUAGACAGUACGUGCGCAUUGGGAAUCGACGACGCUUACACUAUCAUACGUUCCUCGAAUCCAUUGUUAUUCGUACCGUCGGUCGUGGUGAAUUAAUUGAAUGAACAUCAAAUUAAGCAACGUUCUGUCGUAACCGGCUUACGUUAGUGUUGAGGGGAGGUAGUGUGGCGAGGGUGAAUGAGGGUGCAACGUUUCGAUCGGGUAUUAAUAUUACUCGGCUUCCUCCGGCCUGUCUCUUUGUUUUAGUAUGCAGACAGUUUCAUCAGUGUGACGUGAAAUUAAGCUUAGCUAUGCCGUAGAUGACACGAGUACUACGUCGUCUUGUGAAGCGCUGAAUAUUAAUUGGUACAAUAACCGAACACGUCAAAGUUGGGAACACAUAAGAGCAAAACCGUCUUAAGAUUUUUUCCAAAGAAGAAGCUAUUUUCUUGUCAUUUUAAACAAAAUAGAAGAUUGAGACGUUGUUUCUAAAUUUGUGGAAAGUAAAAAUCGAUAAUAAUUUGGGAAACGAUCUGAAAGUAUAUCCCAAUACUAGAGAGAUUAUGAACCUUUGACGUUAGAAUAUCAAAUGAGAAUUGGAAAGUGAAAAAUACAGAGGGAAAAAUAGUCGUACGUAAAAAAGGGAGAAAACGCAGGUGGAUCGUGUCGAUGGCGCACAGUCAUGUGCGGUUUCUCACCAAGGGAAAAAAGUUGCGAGAUACUGGGAAACAAUGAUAAAAUACUUCCGCUCAUGCGAAUCGAAAGAUAUCUAGUGUCUUCUAGGUCGAUCGAUCGAUCCUACGAAUAAUUAAUUAUAAUUAAAUGAAAAUAUUCAAGGUGUUCUCGUAGAAUUAUCGUAAACUUGAGUAAGGAAGAAUUGCGAGAGAAAGAAACUAUCAAGUGGUUCGACAUCUUUGAAAAAUCCUAAUGAAGGAUUCGAUGUAGAACGAGAACGAGAACGAGAACGAGAACGAGGUAAUGUGAACGGAACGGAUUACCGAUUCUUAUAGAAGCCAAGAAAGUUCCAAGCUAAGGAAACACAUUGCGUUUGAUGGAUUUCCCUUGGAAGAAAAAUUUUUCGGUAAGAAUAUAACCAGCCUCUCCUUCUCCCACUCUUUUCGUCGACUCGUAGAAUCUUCCAAAGAAUGUCCAUUUCGAAAGAUUCUCGAGAAUAGCCGUUUAUUACCAGGAGCUUGUUGGAGUCCCUCUUUCGCUCUGAAUCCUCUUGAGUGCAGUGUCGAUGAGGCAGGCGAGGAAGAGGCAGUAGGGACUCGGUGAGAGGAUCGUAAGCUUCCAUGCAUCGAAGAGGACGAUGUCUCUGGAAAAAGGGAUGGCUCCAAUGGAAGUGGGACUGAAAGCAACUCUGUGAAAGGAGCAAAAGAGAGGGACAGAGAGAAAGAGAAAGAGGAUGAGGGCAAUAUAUAGGAGGGUUCUGCUAGGUAGAUCGCUUCUACCUUGCGAACGGAAUUGGCUAGCUGACCCGCUUCCGCGCUUCUAUUCCGCCUUCUAUUCGCGGCCGUAUCUAGUUUACCACUUUGGACAGUCGGAAGGUCUCUUUCUCUCUCUCUAUCUCUCUCUCUCUUUUUAACCUUCUCUCUAUUCCGGAUAGCGGAACCGAUCACUAUUCCAAAUAGACGCUUGGAUGUAAAAGGAAAAUCGAAUUUGACCGAUGCUGGUCGGAAGAGAGAAAGAGAAAAGUACCGUGCAUGUGAGAGAAAAACGAGAGAGAGAGAGAGAGAGAGAGAGAGAGAGAGAGAGAGAGAGAGGGAGAGAGAGAGAGAGAAAGGGCGAUGGCCAGCAGGUGCAGCGUUCGAUCGUGAACGCUCAAACAAGUAUAUGACUUUAGAGAGGUGGAGUAGGGUAAAGGGUGAACUUGGAGGAAGCUAUCGAACGCGACGGGAAAUCGAAUCAAGGAGAAAGAAGAUUUUCGUGCGAGACCUCUGCUUGGGAUGACGAACGUUUGAAGAGAAUUAUACCGCUGAUUGAAUCUCCGAUCGUUUUGGAUCUAUUCGAUUAGUUAAUGGAUCAGGAUGGAAGGUGGGAGAAGGGAAAAUUCGGCGAUUGAUUUGGUUCUUACUGUUGACGAAUGGAAAAGGAAAGUUUGCAGACCUAAUGAUUUCACGACACAACAUUUACUCGAUUCUAUCACAAAGAUUUUAAUAUUUAUAUCUGCAAGUAAUUUAUGUAUAAGGAAGUACGAUGUACCUAAUCGGAUGAAACGAUCGAGGCAAUUAUAAAUUCUUCGAGUUAGUUAAUUUACUUAUUGUUUCGUCUGGAGAUACGUUUCAUCUUGAGAAGAUACGUGUCUUUGGAUAAAAUAUAACUCGAUUGUGUAUAUUUUGAGUGAAAUAAAAAUAAUAAAAAAGAAAAAAAAUGAAAGAAAUGAAAAAAAUGAAAAAAAAAAGGAAAUAAGAAAAAAAUAGGAAAAUAAAAGCAGAAAAGGAGAGAAGAAAAGUCUAAACACGAGUAGGAGGGAGUUACUACGCGUUCCCCAGAGACGACCUUCGCGAUCAGUCCCGGAGGCGAAAAAGACGUGGAAGAAGAAUUUGAUCUUGGAUCGUGAGGCGCCAAUUGCGUCCAUUUAUUGAAUUUCUAUCUCCCACGUGAACUCGUUAAAGAAUGAAGAAAUCGUAAAAGAGAGUGAUCCUUUUCAAACAACAUUUUCCAAGAAAUAUUCUCGGUGGUCUUUUCAAAACAUAACUAUCUUCCUCUCAGCAUCUAAAUUCCGUCACCGAAUAUCCAGUGCAAAGAGUAACUUAUUAUCAAACUAAUUAAAGCUACCUUUUAAUUUAA